This 261-nucleotide long non-coding RNA is filed under the name Mytilus galloprovincialis (Mediterranean mussel). The record is from RNAcentral. Lineage: Eukaryota; Metazoa; Mollusca; Bivalvia; Mytilida; Mytilidae.
CUCCGCAGGGCGUAGCUUUAUACGACCGCAGAGGUUGAACCCUGACAGUUGGGGCAAGUAUGGACACAACAUUCAAGCUGGAUUCAGCUCUAAAUUUGGAUUGUGAUUAAAUAGUUGACACAGCAUAGGUUUCUGACACAGAAUGAAUGUGUUCUAAUGAACUUAAAAUUUUGGUUUUCUCUUAGAGCAAUUCACUAUGCUGUUGAAUAUUAAUCCUCUCAAAAAAAUGUUGGAAGAAAUUUUCUUUUUUAUUUAUGAAAU